CGAGCCGAGUGGACGGCCGCGUCAGGACCUGGUCCUGCCGAGGAACGUCCGGACUCCACAGGGCAGGGUGGUGGCUAACGGCCACCCGGGGUGACCCGCGGGAAAGUGCCACAGAAAACAGACCGCCGGGGGCCUCGUCCCCGGUAAGGGUGAAACGGCGGUGUAAGAGACCACCAGUGCCCAGGGCGACCUGGGCAGCUCGGUAAACCCCACCCGGAGCAAGGUCAAGAGGGGCCACUCGUGGCCCUGCGCGGACGAUCGAGGGCUGCCCGCCCGAGUCCGCGGGUAGACCGCAGGAGGCCGGCGGCAACGUCGGCCCUAGAUGGAUGGCCGUCUCCCGGCCGACCGCGAGGUCGUCCGGCGACAGAAUCCGGCGUACAGCUCGACUCGUCUG
Molecule: RNase P RNA, 394 nt
Filed under: Streptomyces sp. AJS327
Lineage: Bacteria; Bacillati; Actinomycetota; Actinomycetes; Kitasatosporales; Streptomycetaceae
Description: Bacterial RNase P class A
Rfam family: Bacterial RNase P class A
About the family: Ribonuclease P (RNase P) is a ubiquitous endoribonuclease, found in archaea, bacteria and eukarya as well as chloroplasts and mitochondria. Its best characterised activity is the generation of mature 5'-ends of tRNAs by cleaving the 5'-leader elements of precursor-tRNAs.
Source: Rfam by way of RNAcentral